AAAUCGUAAGUUCUAAGAACGUAAACUUUGGAAGUUUAAGGAAAAAGAAACUUCAAAUUUA
Molecule: transfer RNA, 61 nt
Filed under: Ferosagitta ferox
Lineage: Eukaryota; Metazoa; Chaetognatha; Sagittoidea; Aphragmophora; Sagittidae
Description: tRNA-Trp
Source: RNAcentral